This 439-nucleotide ribosomal RNA is filed under the name uncultured bacterium. RNAcentral's name for it is "partial 16S ribosomal RNA". It matches the Rfam family "Bacterial small subunit ribosomal RNA", at positions 339 to 795 of the family's 1533-position model. The record is from RNAcentral.
CUACGGGUGGCUGCAGUGAGGAAUAUUGGACAAUGGGCGAAAGCCUGAUCCAGCAAUACCGCGUGAGUGAUGAAGGCCUUAGGGUUGUAAAACUCUUUCAGUAGGGAAGAUAAUGACGGUACCUACAGAAGAAGCACCGGCUAACUCCGUGCCAGCAGCCGCGGUAAUACGGAGGGUGCUAGCGUUGUUCGGAAUUACUGGGCGUAAAGCGCGCGUAGGCGGUUUGACAAGUUGGAAGUGAAAGCCCAGGGCUCAACCUUGGAAUUGCUUUCAAAACUGUCAAACUAGAGUGUGGUAGGGGACAGUGGAAUUCCUAGUGUAGAAGUGAAAUUCGUAGAUAUUAGGAGGAACACCAGAGGCGAAGGCGACUGUCUGGGCCACUACUGACGCUAAGGCGCGAAAGCGUGGGGAGCAAACAGGAUUAGAUACCCUCGUAGUC